GACGAACGCUGGCGGCGUGCUUAACACAUGCAAGUCGAACGGAAAGGCCCUGCUUUUGUGGGGUGCUCGAGUGGCGAACGGGUGAGUAACACGUGAGUAACCUGCCCUUGACUUUGGGAUAACUUCAGGAAACUGGGGCUAAUACCGGAUAGGAGCUCCUGCUGCAUGGUGGGGGUUGGAAAGUUUCGGCGGUUGGGGAUGGACUCGCGGCUUAUCAGCUUGUUGGUGGGGUAGUGGCUUACCAAGGCUUUGACGGGUAGCCGGCCUGAGAGGGUGACCGGCGACAUUGGGACUGAGAUACGGCACAGACUCCUACGGGAGGCAGCAGUGGGGAAUAGUGCACAAUGGGCGGAAGCCUGAUGCAGCAACGCCGCGUGCGGGAUGACGGCCUUCGGGUUGUAAACCGCUUUCGCCUGUGACGAAGCGUGAGUGACGGUAAUGGGUAAAGAAGCACCGGCUAACUACGUG
This 468-nucleotide ribosomal RNA is filed under the name uncultured bacterium. Its description in RNAcentral is "partial 16S ribosomal RNA". It matches the Rfam family "Bacterial small subunit ribosomal RNA", at positions 28 to 507 of the family's 1533-position model. The record is from RNAcentral.